Molecule: transfer RNA, 74 nt
Filed under: Rubrobacteraceae bacterium
Lineage: Bacteria; Bacillati; Actinomycetota; Rubrobacteria; Rubrobacterales; Rubrobacteraceae
Also listed under: 3 other names
Description: tRNA-Pro
Rfam family: tRNA
About the family: Transfer RNA (tRNA) molecules are approximately 80 nucleotides in length. Their secondary structure includes four short double-helical elements and three loops (D, anti-codon, and T loops). Further hydrogen bonds mediate the characteristic L-shaped molecular structure. tRNAs have two regions of fundamental functional importance: the anti-codon, which is responsible for specific mRNA codon recognition, and the 3' end, to which the tRNAs corresponding amino acid is attached (by aminoacyl-tRNA synthetases). tRNAs cope with the degeneracy of the genetic code in two manners: having more than one tRNA (with a specific anti-codon) for a particular amino acid; and 'wobble' base-pairing, i.e. permitting non-standard base-pairing at the 3rd anti-codon position.
Source: RNAcentral
CGGGGCGUGGCGCAGUCUGGCAGCGCACCUGCUUUGGGAGCAGGGGGUCGGAGGUUCAAAUCCUCUCGCCCCGA